GUGCUCGCUUUGGCAGCACAUAUAUUAAAACUGGAAUGAUAUAGAGAUGAUUAGCAUGGCCCCUGUGCCAGGAUGACAUGCAAAUUUGUGAAGCAUUCCAUUAAUUA
Molecule: small nuclear RNA, 107 nt
Organism: Pongo abelii (Sumatran orangutan)
Lineage: Eukaryota; Metazoa; Chordata; Mammalia; Primates; Hominidae
Source: Ensembl